Molecule: ribosomal RNA, 468 nt
Filed under: uncultured bacterium
Lineage: Bacteria
Description: partial 16S ribosomal RNA
Rfam family: Bacterial small subunit ribosomal RNA
Source: RNAcentral
GACGAACGCUGGCGGCGUGCUUAACACAUGCAAGUCGAACGGAAAGGCCCUGCUUUUGUGGGGUGCUCGAGUGGCGAACGGGUGAGUAACACGUGAGUAACCUGCCCUUGACUUUGGGAUAACUUCAGGAAACUGGGGCUAAUACCGGAUAGGAGCUCCUGCUGCAUGGUGGGGGUUGGAAAGUUUCGGCGGUUGGGGAUGGACUCGCGGCUUAUCAGCUUGUUGGUGGGGUAGUGGCUUACCCAGGCUUUGACGGGUAGCCGGCAUGAGAGGGUGACCGGCCACAUGGGGACUGAGAUACGGACCAGACGCGUACGGGAGGCAGCAGUGGGGAAUAUUGCACAAUGGGCGGAAGCCUGAUGCAGAAACGCCGCGUGCGGGAUGACGGCCUUCGGGUUGUAAACCGCUUUCGCCUGUGACGAAGCGUGAGUGACGGUAAUGGGUAAAGAAGCACCGGCUAACUACGUG